Molecule: long non-coding RNA, 1919 nt
Organism: Capsicum annuum
Lineage: Eukaryota; Viridiplantae; Streptophyta; Magnoliopsida; Solanales; Solanaceae
Exons: 4
Source: RefSeq, a predicted model, not a curated record
UACCCCAUCAUCAUCUACUUCCAUUUCAUCCUCUCCAGAUUCAAGAAUAUAUAUAGAUAGAUAGAUAUAUCUACCUAAGUUUCUUUAAUAAUGGGGUUUUUCCUACCUCUCUUGCCUACUGCAUGGGAUUAAAAAAAAUAAUUAUAAGAAUCUUUGUUUGCUUUUACUAGUAAUAGUUCUACUUAGAAAUGUGAUUUUCUUCAUCACAAUUCAAAAUAUCCAUGAGAAGUUAGACCUUUUUGUGAGUUCUGAGUGUGUUUUGAAAUGUAUAUUUAAGUAAGUAGUUCACGAAUUCUAUUAGGUUUUCGUGAACUACUUACUAUUAUUGGAUGUAUGUGUGACUAUAUAUAUAUGUUUGUUAAGUUGAUUUUUUUGAAAUAUGUUUUAGGGUUUCUACUUUGUUCAGAUCUAUAAAAGUUAGUGGUACCUAUGUAUGAACAAGGUUUAGAGAGAAGAUGGGGGAGACAUUAGAGAGAAUCAAGGCUGACAGAAGAGAGUGAGCACACGCAGACGAAUUGUAUAAAGAUUUAUACAAUUGUCAUUUGCGUGUGCUCAUUUCUCUUUCUGUCAGCUAUCUUUAUGCUUUAGCUCCCCAUCACCCCCCUCACUCCGUUUGAGCUAGAGGAGCGAAAGGGCUCAGUUACAUCUCAUUUUAAGGUCAAUCACCUCCUUCGCUUUGUUUGAGCUAAAGGAGCGAAAGGGAUUCAGUUACAUCUCAUUUUAAGGUCAUCACCCCCUUGCUUCGUUUGAGCUAGAGGAGCAAAAAGGGUUCAGUUACAUCUCAUUUUAAAGUCGAUCAUCCUCCUAGCUCCGUUUGAGCUAGAGGAGCGAAAGAGGUUCAGUUACAUCUCAUUUUAAGGUCAUCACCCCCCUCGCUCCCUUUGAGCUAUAGGAGCGAAAGGGGUUCAGUUACAUCUCAUUUUAAGGUCAUCUUUCUUUUGAAAUAUAUAUAGCAGAUGAUGAACCCUGAACUCAGUACUAUUUUCAUCAUCACCUCUAUAGUCCUAUAUAUCAUGAUAUUUGUUAGAAACAGCAUAAAUGUAACGACAUUUGUAAAUUUUUAUUAAAUUCUUUUUUUUUUUUACUAUUCAUGUUUUUGUAAGCUAACAUCUGUCAAAGAAAAAAAGUUACUACUACUCCUACUAGCAUAUGCAAGCUACAGAUAGACUGAUGGACAUGACAUUUCAACACACACCCACACAAAACGAACUUCUUGAAAUGUCUCUAUGUAUGACACCUAACUUACUUACGUGUUCUUGUUUCAUUGAUAUUCUUUUUCAAAUUGAGAAUUUGACGUUUAUAAAUUUUUGCAAUAAAUAAUUUAGUAAAUUUGUUAGUAUAUGUAUAGUAUGAGGAAAAAAUUACUAGAUUCAGAUGAAUUCGUACUCAAAACUUUUAGAUCCACCUCUACGUAUAUAUGUAUAUUUUGUUGGUGAUUUUUGGAGAUUUUAUAGAUAGAAAAGAAGAUGAAGUUUAUCAUCAGAUAAGGUAAACAUUUUUUUUUUGUAUUAUAAUGUUAAUAAAUAUUUAGUACUAUGUUGUUUGUCAUAAUUACCUAAUUAAAUAUUGUACUAAGUGUGUCUUUUCAUGUACUUAUAAUAUCUCUGAUGGAAGAGGACGAUUGUAGAUUUGGAAGGUGAUGAAAUAUAUGAUUUUUGGUUCAUUGUUGAGGGCUUGGAAGAAAUUUAGCAUGAAGAAUACAAAUUUAUUUGAAUAUUUCUUAUAUUGAAUUUCAAGGUGAACGUAGGCAUGUCGAGCAUUUCAUUUUAACGAUAUGAAGAAAGUAAGCUAGAGCCAAGUACACAAGGUUAUGCUGGCUGUAUGGAUCAACAUUUUGAUACGUGGACGCGUGAAUUUGAGUGCAACAUCUACAUCCAGCAUGCUGUUGCUUCAAAUAUGAGGAGGUUAGUAUCCCAACC